UACGAAGGGGGCUAGCGUUGCUCGGAAUCACUGGGCGUAAAGCGCACGUAGGCGGAUUGUUAAGUCAGGGGUGAAAUCCUGGAGCUCAACUCCAGAACUGCCUUUGAUACUGGCGAUCUUGAGUCCGGGAGAGGUGAGUGGAACUGCGAGUGUAGAGGUGAAAUUCGUAGAUAUUCGCGAGAACACCAGUGGCGAAGGCGGCUCACUGGCCCGAUACUGACGCUGAGGCACGAAAGCGUGGGGAGCAAACAGG
Molecule: ribosomal RNA, 253 nt
Filed under: uncultured bacterium
Lineage: Bacteria
Description: partial 16S ribosomal RNA
Rfam family: Bacterial small subunit ribosomal RNA
Source: RNAcentral